RNAcentral lists this ribosomal RNA (180 nucleotides) under uncultured bacterium. RNAcentral's name for it is "partial 16S ribosomal RNA". It matches the Rfam family "Bacterial small subunit ribosomal RNA", at positions 1305 to 1500 of the family's 1533-position model. The record is from RNAcentral.
CUGAAACUCGCCUCUUUGAAGUCGGAAUCGCUAGUAAUCGCAGAUCAGCAUGUUGCGGUGAAUACGUUCCCGGGUCUUGUACACACCGCCCGUCAAACCAUGAGAGUCACCAACACCCGAAGUCCGCUUUGGCGGCCUAAGGUGGGGGAGAUGAUUGGGGUGAAGUCGUAACAAGGUAAC